This 1493-nucleotide long non-coding RNA is filed under the name Sus scrofa (pig). RNAcentral's name for it is "lncRNA (ENSSSCG00040003155.1)". The record is from RNAcentral. Lineage: Eukaryota; Metazoa; Chordata; Mammalia; Artiodactyla; Suidae.
GCAGCCGUAAAAAGAAAGAAAAAAGACAUGCAGGAUGCCCAGCUCAAUCUCAGCCUAGCCCCCAGCGUGGCCCAGAAGGACCUCCAACAGAUUAAGGUUUAAACAGAAGAGGACUGGACAAUCUCAACAGAUACAGAAAAGGGCCACGCCUGCAGCAUAUAGAAGUUCCCAGACUAGCGGUGAAGUCAGAGCUAUAGCCGUCGGCCUACACCAGAGCCACAGCAAUGCGGGAUCCUUAACCCACCGAGCAAGGCUGGGGAUCGAACCUGAGUCCUCAUGGAUACUAGUCGGAUUCUUAACGCACGGAGCUACAGCAGGAACUCCCAGGGCCAGCCCUCCGCUGGCCUCCCCCCCAGGAGGACCCCACCAACAGGGGUCCCACUGAAUAAUUACCCUCGGGAUGUGAUGGGCUGACACUGCCUCCUGACGUCGACGGCUGAGAAAGAUGCUCUUUUUCUAUCCCUCAAACGGUCAACUUUUUCGUUUGUUUUUGUUUGUUUUUGCUUUUUUUAAGGCCGCACCCCAGACACAUAGAGGUCCCCAGGCUAAGGGUUGCAUUGGAGCUACAGCUGCCUGCCUACACCACAGCCUCAGCAACGCCAGAUCCAAGUCGCGUCUGAGACCUACACCACAGCUCACAGCAAUGCCGGAUCCUUAACCCACUGAGUAAGGCCAGGGAUCGAACCUGCAUCCUCGUGGAUGCUAGUCAGAUGGGUUAACUGCUGAGCCACGCCGGGAAUUCCUGGUCGGUCAAAUUUCCUCACUGCUCUUUCUUUUUCAAAGUCCUGUGUCUGCUUGGGGUGACCUCACGGUAAUUUUCCUAUGGAAGGAGGCUUCUGAGAGGAUAAGGACUCUGACACCUGUUUAGAGAGAGGGGUUCCUGAUUCUGGGGUCCGAGGAGGGCUUCCGAGGGUCUGGGGACCACCUGCAAUUGUCCAGCAAACAAUGCGUCCACGCACACGGAUAGGCAUCUAUUGUCCCCCCAGAAAGGGAGUCGCUAGUUUUCAGCAGAAGUUCAAGGGGAAACUGUAUCCCAGAGAAGAGUAGCAAAUGUUCACGGAGAAGCAGUGGAUACCCGAGGUCCCUGGCCUGGAGCUCAUGACCCCUUAGGGUCUAUGGAGACAAUUCAGGAAGCCCAGGAGCUGAGACCAGGUCAAUUUCAAUCUUUAGUUCAUAGCUAUUUCUCCACUCUAUUAAAACCAUUGCAGGUAUCUCGAAAUAUUCCUAGCACUCGUCAUUCCUCAGAAAUUACGGUGUCUCUAUCACAUCUUUCUGGACUCCACGUUGGUACUCCCCUCCUGUAAGGGAUAAAAACCCCUAUAGGACAAUGUGGGGUGGGGAGGGCUCUUCUUCCGCCUCCCAGCUGUCCUGGGAGCUGUUGCUUUCCUAUCAUAAAGACUUCGCUUGCUUAAAAAAAAAAAUCCAGAAAUCGCGGUGGUUUUAAACCAGCAACUAUGCUGUCUUUAAUGCAUUAAUAAAGAAGCUCAUAUACC